GGUAGUGUGGCUUAGUGGUUAGCACAUUCGCCUCACACCUCCAUUGUCCCAGGUUCAAUUCCCGUCGGGGCCA
Ameiurus melas (black bullhead) is the source of this 73-nucleotide non-coding RNA. The record is from the annotation of a GenBank genome assembly. NCBI's taxonomy places the organism in Eukaryota, Metazoa, Chordata, Actinopteri, Siluriformes, Ictaluridae.